AUACGGCCAUAUCAUGUUGAAACAUUGUUUCUCAAACGAUCACCGAAGUUAAGCAACGUCGAUCCUGGUCAGUACCUAGAUGGGUGACCAUUUGGGAACACCAGAUGCCGUAAG
Acanthosepion pharaonis is the source of this 114-nucleotide non-coding RNA. NCBI's taxonomy places the organism in Eukaryota, Metazoa, Mollusca, Cephalopoda, Sepiida, Sepiidae. The record is from the annotation of a GenBank genome assembly.